RNAcentral lists this long non-coding RNA (301 nucleotides) under Bos grunniens (domestic yak). Its description in RNAcentral is "lncRNA (ENSBGRG00000006336.1)". The record is from RNAcentral. Lineage: Eukaryota; Metazoa; Chordata; Mammalia; Artiodactyla; Bovidae.
AUGGAGGCCCACUUCAGCUCCUGCUGGCAGCGUGGUGGCCGGCUGGGCCCUGGGAUCCACUGCUGGGAUCCGCAUCUCACAACUGAGGCUCUGGUCCUUCAUUGUGUGAAGAGUAAGAGGAAUGCCCUGGCCCUCAACUUUGAAAGACUUGUAAUGGAACCUCUAAGAAAACAUUACCCACCUGGACAAAUAAGAACCAUGCUGGAUGGUGCUGGAAGUUGUGGACAAGGUCACAGGAAGUUCCUUGCAAACGUCAGCAGAGAAGCUAAGGUAUAGACUUGGAGUAACCUCUCACUCUGAC